Molecule: unclassified non-coding RNA, 262 nt
Filed under: Hevea brasiliensis (rubber tree)
Lineage: Eukaryota; Viridiplantae; Streptophyta; Magnoliopsida; Malpighiales; Euphorbiaceae
Source: RNAcentral
UGAAAAAUGUCUUGAAAAUUUAUUGGAUGGAUCAGUGAGGCUUUUAGAUAUUUGUGGAGUCACGAGGGGCUUCUUGUUACAAUUUAAGGAGCAAGUUCAAGCUCUUCAAUCUGCACUACGCAGGAGAAAAGGAUAUUCCAGCAUCGAAGGCAGUAUAGCUAGUUAUUCUUGCUUCACAAAGAAGAUGAAAAAGGAGGCAAAAAAGUCAAUUGCUGUACUGAAGCAAAUGGGCAGCAAACUUAAGGCAUCUCCACUUCAAGAU